Molecule: ribosomal RNA, 465 nt
Filed under: uncultured bacterium
Lineage: Bacteria
Description: partial 16S ribosomal RNA
Rfam family: Bacterial small subunit ribosomal RNA
Source: RNAcentral
GACGAACGCUGGCGGCGUGCUUAACACAUGCAAGUCGAACGGAAAGGCCCUGCUUGCAGGGUACUCGAGUGGCGAACGGGUGAGUAACACGUGGGUGAUCUGCCCUGCACUUCGGGAUAAGCCUGGGAAACUGGGACUAAUACCGGAUAGGAGCCAUUUUUAGAGUGAUGGUUGGAAAGUUUUUUCGGUGUAGGAUGGGCACGCGGCCUAUCAGCGUGUUGGUGGGGUAAUGGCCUACCAAGGCGGCGACGGGUAGCCGGCCAGGGAGGGUGGACGGCCACAUUGAGACUGUGUUACUCCCCAGACUCCCACGGGCGGCAGCAGUGGGGAAUAUUGCGCCAUGGGCGCGAGCCUGAUUCAGCGACGCCGCGUGGGGGAUGACGGCCUUCGGGUUGUAAACUCCUUUCGCCAGGGUCUAAGCUUUUUGUGACGUUACCUAGAUAAGAAGCACCGGCUAACUACGUG